AUGAACGCUGGCGGCGUGCCUAAUACAUGCAAGUCGAGCGCACGGACGAGAAGCUUGCUUCUCUGAUGUUAGCGGCGGACGGGUGAGUAACACGUGGAUAACCUACCUAUAAGACUGGGAUAACUUCGGGAAACCGGAACUAAUACCGGAUGAUAUUUUGAACCCCAUGGUUCAAAAGUGAAAGACGUUCUUGCUGUCACUUAUAGAUGGAUCCGCGCUGCAUUAGCUAGUUGGUAAGGUAACGGCUUACCAAGGCAACGAUGCAUAGCCGACCUGAGAGGGUGAUCGGCCACACUGGAACUGAGACACGGUCCAGACUCCUACGGGAGGCAGCAGUAGGGAAUCUUCCGCAAUGGGCGAAAGCCUGACGGAGCAACGCCGCGUGAGUGAUGAAGGUCUUCGGAUCGUAAAACUCUGUUAUUAGGGAAGAACAUAUGUGUAAGUAACUGUGCACAUCUUGACGGUACCUAAUCAGAAAGCCACGGCUAACUACGUG
Molecule: ribosomal RNA, 496 nt
Filed under: uncultured bacterium
Lineage: Bacteria
Description: partial 16S ribosomal RNA
Rfam family: Bacterial small subunit ribosomal RNA
Source: RNAcentral